GCGGAAGUAGCUCAGUGGUAGAGCACCACCUUGCCAAGGUGGGGGUCGCGGGUUCGAAUCCCGUCUUCCGCUCCA
RNAcentral lists this transfer RNA (75 nucleotides) under Paludifilum halophilum. RNAcentral's name for it is "tRNA-Gly". It matches the Rfam family "tRNA". Rfam says of the family: Transfer RNA (tRNA) molecules are approximately 80 nucleotides in length. RNAcentral also lists the same sequence under 3 other names. The record is from RNAcentral. Lineage: Bacteria; Bacillati; Bacillota; Bacilli; Caryophanales; Thermoactinomycetaceae.